AGUGAACGCUGGCGGCGUGCCUAAUACAUGCAAGUCGAACGAUGAAGUCCUAGCUUGCUGGGAUUGAUUAUUGGCGCACGGGUGAGUAAUAUAUAUUUAAUCUGCCCUACACAGAGGAACAACAGUUGGAAACGACUGCUAAGACCUCAUACUCCUAUUUGACAUAAGUUAAAUAGGGAAAGUCUGUUCGUUGUAGGAUUAGACUAUAUCGUAUCAGCUAGGUGGUAAGGUAAUGGCUUACCAAGGCUAUGACGCGUAACUGGUCUGGGAGGAGAGUCAGCCACCUUGGACCUGAGGCACCGUCCAAAAUCCUACGGGAGGGAGCAGUAAGGAAUACUACGCAAUGGGGGAAACCCUGAAGCAGCAACGCCGCGUGGAGGACGACACUUUUCGGAGAGUAAAAUCCUUUUAUCAGGAAAGAAUAAUGACGGUACCUGAUGAAUAAGCACCGGCUAACUCCGUG
Molecule: ribosomal RNA, 463 nt
Filed under: uncultured bacterium
Lineage: Bacteria
Description: partial 16S ribosomal RNA
Rfam family: Bacterial small subunit ribosomal RNA
Source: RNAcentral